ACGUACGGCCAUAGAUACUGGAAAGCACGGGAUCCCGUCCGCUCUCCCCUAGUUAAACCAGUAAUCGGCGGAUUAGUAGUUGGGUCGGUGACGACCAGCGAAUACCCGCUGCUGUACAUU
Molecule: ribosomal RNA, 120 nt
Filed under: Grosmannia clavigera kw1407
Lineage: Eukaryota; Fungi; Ascomycota; Sordariomycetes; Ophiostomatales; Ophiostomataceae
Source: RNAcentral